CUUGAACUCCUGAUCCGACUGCCUUUC
Molecule: non-coding RNA, 27 nt
Filed under: Cricetulus griseus (Chinese hamster)
Lineage: Eukaryota; Metazoa; Chordata; Mammalia; Rodentia; Cricetidae
Source: RNAcentral